This 253-nucleotide ribosomal RNA is filed under the name uncultured bacterium. Its description in RNAcentral is "partial 16S ribosomal RNA". It matches the Rfam family "Bacterial small subunit ribosomal RNA", at positions 524 to 776 of the family's 1533-position model. The record is from RNAcentral.
UACGGAGGAUCCAAGCGUUAUCCGGAAUCAUUGGGUUUAAAGGGUCCGUAGGCGGUUUAAUAAGUCAGUGGUGAAAGCCCAUCGCUCAACGGUGGAACGGCCAUUGAUACUGCAAGACUUGAAUUAUUGUGAAGUAACUAGAAUAUGUAGUGUAGCGGUGAGAUGCUUAGAGAUUACAUGGAAUACCAAUUGCGAAGGCAGGUUACUAACAAUAUAUUGACGCUGAUGGACGAAAGCGUGGGUAGCGAACAGG